GCCACGAAACGGCUGGACGGUCGGCGGGGUGGGCUUGGCUUGGCUUGGUUCGGGCCUAAGGUCGGGCCAGAGUGGUCGAGGAGAGGGCAAACUAAAGGCGGCGGGUGGACUAUUGGGCGCCGGCCCGUGCGGUCGCUCCGCUUCGGCACAGGCCAUUCCUUAGCCAACCAAGGGGGAGGGCGUGGCGGAGACGCGGCCGAUGUUUUCCGCGGUGUCCGCGCGGGGGAGGUGGGGCGCGAGACGGGAGGAGAGAAGAGGAAACCUCGAAAGCAAGGCCGGCCCGGAGGCGGGAGCUAGCGGGCUCGGCGGAGGAGCGCGGAGCCGCUGACAAAGGUGGGGGAACAGGUAGUUAAGGGCUAAGCAAAGCUUAGCGCAAACUAAACUAAAGUGAGCGGCAGCGGCAACGGAACGACACGAGCGUCCCAUAAGGUUAGGCCGCUCGGGCCCUUCGCUAGCUAGCCCCUAAGUAAGUAAAACCAAACGCUCAGAUAGAGUCUCAGCGCACAGGCGAAGACAAACGUUGGCACCUAGGACACAAGGAGCAUAAGCACAGGCGUAGGCGCGCGCAACCAACGUCCUAGCAGCUCGGACCAAAAACCUUAACCUCGAGACUAACACCUCGGCCUCCGGCUCCGUUCUACGUCUCCUUAGGUCUCCCGCGCGAUCAAGAAGUCUCCACCUCCAAGUCUAGAAGAGCACACUACUUCGGAUCCUAAAGAAUGGUUGGCCUUGGUCGCUAGACGCAAACCUAUUUACUAAUUUAGGGAGGGUUGAAGUCAAAGGACCAGACGUGUCAUCAGUUGCCGUUGUUAAGACUAGACUUAAGAAACGAAGAGGUCUUUAAUAUUUAACCUAAUGUGCCGUAUCGCCCUCGUUGUAGACGCAAACCUACUAAUAAUAAUGGGGGAGAUAAAUGAAGGAAGUAGAUGUGUCAAGUUAGAAUCAGCGAAGACUAAAUCUAAACAACUACCAACAGGUCUUUAACCCUAAUAUGCCGAAUGACCCUCGCUGAACAGUAAGAAGGAGUGGACACAAACCUACUAGUAAGAGAGAGACAAAUAAAGGAAAGGAGGUACCAAGUUAAUCAGAGGUGUGUUAAGACUAAACCUAAACAACGAGCAUGAGGUCUUUUAACCUUAAUAUGCCGAAUCGCUCACCAGGAGAAAAGGGAGCCGUACCGCCAAGGAAAAGACACCGAGUUGUCAUAAAGAAUGAGUUAUUAUAUUAAUAAUAAUCUUGUGUGGUCUGUUCAAAAGAGACGGAAUCAAACAGUUAAGAAUCGAGAACGUCUGUAGCAGAACCUUCCCUAUAUUAACCUUGGCCACGACAGAUGGACUGGAAGGGUCUGUUCUGAAAGAAUAUUGAAAAUGGAGGAGUAAACUUCGUACGAAAUCGACUCGGAGCCGUACGCAACGUCUAAGUAGACGUUUCCGCGUUCUUACCUCGAAGUUUGAUUACCGUGUAGGAUGUUGUCUUUCUGAGAAGAGGUAAAAAUUGAGAACGGAGAAUAAAAAUAAAGUGCAUCGAUGAACAAGUACGGAAACUAAAUCCGAAAAAACGAAGACGGGGGGACACUAACGUCUAAAUAAAAUCGGGUCUCGCACAACCAUGAACCAUCGCUCAGCUUUAGACAAUUUUAACCAACCAAACGUUAGAUGGAGAUACGCCAAGCUAAACAAUAUACAUGAGAAUAGGACAGCCGACGUCCGGUAUAAAUCCUUCAAACACGAAUACUCGUUUUAGAGACAUGUCACUCAGUCCAGUCACAAGAUAGUUGCCAAACAAACCAAAUCAAGACAAGGAGGUGUGUAACCAACGUCCUAACCUAGACCUUACACCUCUAGGGACACCACAACAUACAAUUCCCCUAAACUCGUCCAGUCCAAACUUACCGAUAGCGGACACACCAGAGGACCAAGAGUAGUGUACAAAGAAGUAGUAGUCGAUUAUACUCCACCUAAUCUCUCCAGGACCACCUAAGAAUAACAUCGUCGACUAGCGCAAAAACCACACACAAACACGAGGAAACGAACGUCGUCUACGUCCUCACAUCAUCAAGACGUGUCUACUUAGUAUCCCCUCUAAACCAAAGACAAGCAGUAAAACUAACUAACCUAUUACUUCGAAACCUAGAGAAUGGUUGGACCUUGAACACUAGACGCAAACCUAUUAUAUAUAAGGCAGGGUUAAGUUAAAUAAACCAAACGUGUUAUGUUGAAUCGGGAACCAUCAAGACUAGACAUAAGCAAACACCAAAAGGUCUUUAACUCCAAUUAACCACCUCUAAACCAAAGACAAGUAGUAAAACUAACCAACCUAUUACUUCAAAACCUUGGAUCUUGAACGCUAGUCGCAAACCUAUUACUUAAGACAGGGCUAAGUUAAAUAAACCAAACGCGUCAUGUUAAAUCAGGACCGUCAAGACUAGACAUAAGCAAACACCAAAAGUCUUUAACCCGAAGCAUUCCAAAUCCUCCUCGUUGGAUAGAAGAACGACUAGACGUAAACCUACUAAUGCUUGGGGAGAUAAAUUAAGGAAGAGUUAAGUUAAAAUCAGAGGCUGUUAAGACUAAACCUAGACAACGACCAACAGGUCUUUAACCCUAAUAUACCGAAUCGCCCUCGCUGGAUAGAAGAACGACUGGACGUGAACCUACUAGUAAUGAGAGAGACAAAUUCAAGAAGAGGUAUCGAGUUCAUCAACGGGCUGCUAAGACUAAAUCUUAAAAACGACCAAGAGGUCUUUAACCUUAAUAUACCGAAUCGCCCACCAGGAUAGAAAGGUUCCGUACCGCCAAGAAAGACACCGGGUUGUAUAGGCUGGAAAAUAGGAGGGAACUAUUAACUUGAAAGUUUACAAUCAAAGAAACGGAACUAACCAUUAAGAGUCGAGAACGUCUACGACUGAACCCUCGCUUUAUUAACCUUGGUCACAACAGAUGGACUGAAAGGUCGGCUCUGUCCGAAUGAAUGGGAAAUGGAGUUGUAAACUACGAACGAAAUCGACUCGGAUCAAAAGGAGAAUAUUGAAUAUCUUUCCAUAGAGGGAGCAACGUCCGGUAUCAACUACUGAGCAGGUUGGACUACGACUGAACUUAGGCAAACGUCAAGAAGAUUUAGAUAAUAAAAGAGUUAAGUAGUCUUGAAUCUGUCGGAAGUUUUAAUAGAAUGGUCUGUUAUAAAACUUAAGUCUUAAUAGACGGUUCCAAGUUGUUACCUCUAAGUUUGAUUACCUUGUAGGAUGUUACUUUUUCUCACGAGGUCAAAAUUGAGUGGAGAAUACGAUGAACAAGUACAGAAACUAAAUCCAAAAAGGAAGACGGGAGGGAAACCAACGUCUAAUUCGGGUUUGGUACGACCAUCACUCAACCUUAGACAAUUUUAGCAAACCAAACGCUAGAUAGAGAGAGAGAGACCUAGCUAAACAACAAACAUGAGAACUAGGGACCAGAAGACGCACAUAGUCAACGUCCUAUAUAAAUCCUUCAGACCCGGAUACACGUCCUAUAUAAACCUAUACAACCACCAAGAGGUCUUUAACCUUAAUAUACCGCAUCGCCCUCGCUGCGUAGAACGACGAGACACAAACCUAUUAAUAGUGAAGGAGACAAAAUGAGAAAGUAGAGGUGACAAGACAAAACCAAAGGGUGUUAAGACUAAAUUUGAUAAAGAACCACCGAGAGGUCUUUAACCUUAUUAUACCGAAUCUUCCGCAGGAUAAAAAGGAGCCGUACCGCCAAGGAAGACACCGAUUUUUGAAAGAGUUGGAAAAAAUGAGAUAUUAACUUGAGAGAUCUGUAAUCCAAAAGAAACGGAAUCAUUAAUAGUCGAGAACGUCUAUGACUGAACCUUUCCUAUAUUGACGUCAAACCUUGGACGCAACAACAGGAGGUAGUAGGUAUGGACUGGGAUCUGUCCGAAAUGAACAAGGGUGAGUUAGUAGGUACGAAAUCGAUAAAUAUUCUUCGUAAAGGGGAUUGUUAAAAAAAAUAUCUUUGCCACAGAACGAGUGACGUCCAACAUCAACUGUUUGAGGACAGGUCGGACUACUACUUAGGCAGAUGACUAGAAGCUUUAGAUGUCACAGCAAAGUUAAGUAACGUUGAAUGUAUUGGAUAUUUAAUAGAAUGAUCUGUUAAAAAUUUAUGUCUAAGUAUACGUCGUGCUUAUAUAUUCUACUAGAUCUCGGAUGAUUACCGUGUAGGAUGUUGGCUUUUUCUGAGAAUGGAAGGAAAAAAAAUUAAAGUAAAUCAAUGAACCGGUAGAGAGACUGUAUCCAAAAACGGGGACGGGAAGGAUACCAACGUCUAAAAAGAAAUCGGGUCCGGUACACCCGUUACUGAUUUGAGAACUAGGGACAAAAUAACCAGAAGACGCACACACCCAACCGUUAUAUAUUAAAAAUAAUCCUCAAACCCGGGUUUGGAAACGAGACAUGUACCUCAGUCCAGUCACAGAGCAUCUGCCAGACAAACAAAGUAAACAAUAGCGGCGGAGAUGUUAAACCGAACGUCCUGACCUAGAACUAGACCAGACCUUCAUUUCGAGGAACACCCAACACUUGCAUACCACCUCCCCUGAGCUCCGUCCAGUCAAAGUACAAAGCAGUGUAACCAAAUGACCUAAGGAGUAGACACGAACCACUGCAGUCUAAACUCACCGAUAUGUAAUUCAAGAAGCUAAGCAAGCCUUAGAAGAAGUUGGUGUUUUUGAAUGUGGACCUGAGAUACGGACAAAGUUGAUAAAUGGUCUAAAGUGAUACCAGACUGAAAGGAACUUCUUGAAAAUUCAUACGACUAAUAUAAACCCAACUAAACGUAACAACCUCCAAAAUAACGUUCUAACAUCUCAACCUAUCAGUCAAUCGCGCCCCUGAACCACAUCGUUUACCUGAAGGGACUACCAAAACUGGAGACUAAUGACUAGGACUUCGUAUUACUAAACCAGAAACACCAUCAAAAGUCAAACUUGAACGUAAGUCACCGGAGUAUAGAAACCACGUCGAACCUCAAUCAUCACACGUGUAGACUACUAAGAAAGUUGACAGGACUUCGUAGAAUGAACCAAAGACAACACGGUAGGAUGACCAAUGCCAUAGAAUAAGUUGAACGUACACCAAACCUACCUUAUACUAGAAUAGAAAACGAGCUUAGUUCUUUUACGAUCUUCAGAGUUUGUUCCCAGGUUUUACCUUUAUAGUCAAGCAUGAGUCAAACAUAUCGUCUAAUAGUUUCAAACUGAACCGAUAAUUAAUGGACCAAUGGUAUGACAAAGUACUUCAAACCAAAACCAUAAACCGACGAACAUAGAAAGUUGAACGUUUAAACAGUGGAUUAUCCUUCAUUUCUAGCGUACAUGUACUCGAGACUUACGUCAUUUUUACAAUUCGUAUAAUAUACUUAUAUACACUUAACCAGUAUGCACCUAAACAGUCAGAUGAUAAGAUGUAUGAGAACAGGUACUAACAUGAACCAAACAAAUAUAUGCAAGAAAUCCAAGAAGAAUACCGUGUUUUAGUUUAAAACCACACGUGUAUAACAAUUGAAACCACUAUUUCUUUCUAGGGUGGGAGCGUGAACACAACCAAAUUGUCAUCACCGGGGGACAUCAAACCAUUAUAACUACUGAACCAUAUGUCCUUCUCCAAUCCUCAAUAACGAUAUAUGUAUAUGAUUUUGUUACCUCUCAACUUCCAAGACUUGACCUCCGAACUUGUUUAUAAAACGGGACUUGUGAGGUGAGUACAGGUGACUUAUACUAAGACUAAACAACCAUACCUCAACUAAAAGUCACUACAAGAAGAGUAACCACGAAGAGGUCACUCUAGACCUAAGAAGGUACGUAGAAGAGCCAAACGACCCCUUGAAGGAUCGUUUUGUCAGACCGUAAACUACUAGGGAUUUGUGAGACCGAUUAAACUACUACUUAGGACGACUAAUGAAAGCUGUAUACCUUUAAACAAAGGAUGAAGUAAGUAGGACCUAAAUUUCUUUGUCGCGAGUGUGUAGAGAUACCAGGAGGUUACCGAUUAAAAUAGAUAUAAUACUUUAGAAGGUAAUGUAUGAAUGACUUAGAUAUUAUUAAAGUAUACAAGUGUGUAGAAUACCAGGAGUUACCGAUAACUGGAAGAAAAGGCGGCUUGUCGAUUAAACAAUACCUAAUACCUUAGAAGUAUGUAUAACAAUUUAUAUACUUAGAUAUUAAAGUAUCGCAAGUGCGUAGAAUACCAGGAGAUUACCGAUUAACUGGAAGAAAAGACCGCUUGACGAUUAAACUAGACCUAAGAUUGGUGUAUUAAGAGAAAUUAAUGUACAGGAAUGAAAAGACCGUUGAAGGAUCAAAAUUAAAUCAACCAUUGAUCGUUUCAUGAUUAAACUACUAAGGACG
This 6387-nucleotide ribosomal RNA is filed under the name Triticum aestivum (bread wheat). RNAcentral's name for it is "partial small subunit ribosomal RNA". Lineage: Eukaryota; Viridiplantae; Streptophyta; Magnoliopsida; Poales; Poaceae. The record is from RNAcentral.